Molecule: non-coding RNA, 127 nt
Organism: Paramuricea clavata
Lineage: Eukaryota; Metazoa; Cnidaria; Anthozoa; Malacalcyonacea; Plexauridae
Source: the annotation of a GenBank genome assembly
UUUAUACGUCGAAUUUUGGUCGCGUCGAAUGCAAUUAAGACAAUAGAUAAUGAGAUAAUAAACCUCAUUAAGCUUCAUUAUCUAUUGUUUGAAUUGCAUUCGACGCGACCAAAAUUCGACUUAUAAA